GAUGAACGCUGGCGGCGUGCCUAAUACAUGCAAGUCGAGCGAAUGGAUUAAGAGCUUGCUCUUAUGAAGUUAGCGGCGGACGGGUGAGUAACACGUGGGUAACCUGCCCAUAAGACUGGGAUAACUCCGGGAAACCGGGGCUAAUACCGGAUAACAUUUUGAACCGCAUGGUUCGAAAUUGAAAGGCGGCUUCGGCUGUCACCUAUGGAUGGACCCGCGUCGCAUUAGCUAGUUGGUGAGGUAACGGCUCACCAAGGCAACGAUGCGUAGCCGACCUGAGAGGGUGGACGGCCACACUGGGACUGAGACACGGCCCAGACUCCUACGGGGGGCAUCAGGAGGGAGUCUUCCGCAAUGGACGAAAGUCUGACGGAGCAACGCCGCGUGAGUGACGAAGGCUUUCGGGUCGUAAAACUCUGUUGUUAGGGAAGAACAAGUGCUAGUUGAAUAAGCUGGCACCUUGACGGUACCUAACCAGAAAGCCACGGCUAACUACGUGCCAGCAGCCGCAGUAA
Molecule: ribosomal RNA, 515 nt
Filed under: uncultured bacterium
Lineage: Bacteria
Description: partial 16S ribosomal RNA
Rfam family: Bacterial small subunit ribosomal RNA
Source: RNAcentral